Molecule: ribosomal RNA, 327 nt
Filed under: uncultured bacterium
Lineage: Bacteria
Description: bacterial SSU rRNA
Rfam family: Bacterial small subunit ribosomal RNA
Source: RNAcentral
GACGAACGCUGGCGGCGUGCCUAACACAUGCAAGUCGAACGAAGAGAAUUGAGAGCUUGCUCUUGGAGAUCUUAGUGGCGAACGGGUGAGUAACGCGUAAACAACCUGCCUUCGGGAUGGGGACAACAGACGGAAACGACUGCUAAUACCCAAUGAACUAACCGAGCGAGUGCAAGGAAGAGAAAAGGUGGCCUCUCGAAGAAGCUACCGCCGGAAGAGGGGUUUGCGUCUGAUUAGUUAGUUGGUGGGGUAACGGCCUACCAAGACGAUGAUCAGUAGCCGGUCUGAGAGGAUGAACGGCCACACUGGAACUGAGACACGGUCCAG